CCUACGGGAGGCAGCAGUGAGGAAUAUUGGUCAAUGGCCGGAAGGCUGAACCAGCCAUGCCGCGUGAAGGUCAGUGCCCUAUGGGCGUUAAACUUCUUUUAUAGGGGAAUAAAGGUAUCCACGUGUGGAUAUUUGCAUGUACCCUAUGAAUAAGCAUCGGCUAACUCCGUGCUAGCAGCCGCGGUAAUACGGAGGGUGCGAGCGUUAUCCGGAUUUAUUGGGUUUAAAGGGUGCGUAGGUUGUUUUUUAAGUCAGCGGUGAAAGUGUGUGGCUCAACCAUAACAUUGCCGUUGAAACUGGAAGACUUGAGUGUGGUUGAGGUAGGCGGAAUGCGUGGUGUAGCGGUGAAAUGCAUAGAUAUCACGCAGAACUCCGAUUGCGAAGGCAGCUUACUAAGCCAUAACUGACACUGAAGCACGAAAGCGUGGCGAUCAAACAGGAUUAGAUACCCGUGUAGUC
RNAcentral lists this ribosomal RNA (459 nucleotides) under uncultured bacterium. RNAcentral's name for it is "partial 16S ribosomal RNA". It matches the Rfam family "Bacterial small subunit ribosomal RNA", at positions 338 to 795 of the family's 1533-position model. The record is from RNAcentral.